CCACAGCAGCGAUCAGAGCUGCUGCAUCCAGCUGUGAGGCUGCAGAGCCAGAAACGCGUGCGACCUGAAAGGGAACACAUUUCUAGAGGGCCUCGGGCCAAGGUGGAGGUGAUGAGGGCAGGAUGCGGAGGCCAGCGGAGGACAAGUGCUGACUGGCAUGGGGAUGCUAUGGGUGGGGGGACGGUCAGGAAUUAGCAGCUGAUUUCAAGCGUUGGGAGGAGGUGCGGAGACAAGGAGGCAGCGGCUGGGGUGAUUCCAGAGUAAUUAGGGUGGAAAAUUCUGGAGCAUCCUCGCUGCUUCCCUCAGGACAGAGGCUGCGUGUUUCUCAGCUCUGUCCUGGCAGCGGCUGGCGGAGCAUGUGUGGGCUUCAUUGAAUACGCUGCCCGAGUGUCUUGCAGCUUUUCCCAGGCGUCUUCUGUGUCUCCUGGUCCCCACGGCUGCAACUUCGACAACUGAGUUCUCUUGCUCUGGCUGCAUUUCAGGACAAGAGCAUGCCUGCUUGAGGUGCCUAGAAUCCUGGCUGGACCCAAAACACUGCAGACUACUUGGUUUCUGUCCAAGGACAGCCCCAAUGGCCUGGACAGGGCUUAGCACAAUUCCUAAUGUACAUCAGACCCUAAAGGAAGUGUGUGCUGUGAGGACAGCCUGAUGAAAUCCUGGCACAGGAAGGAGAGGCAGUACAGGACUGUGGUUUCUGAGCCAAACUGGUGACACAAGACUCGAGCCCUGGUC
RNAcentral lists this long non-coding RNA (732 nucleotides) under Sus scrofa (pig). RNAcentral's name for it is "lncRNA (ENSSSCG00070015748.1)". The record is from RNAcentral. Lineage: Eukaryota; Metazoa; Chordata; Mammalia; Artiodactyla; Suidae.